RNAcentral lists this ribosomal RNA (205 nucleotides) under uncultured bacterium. RNAcentral describes it as "partial 16S ribosomal RNA". It matches the Rfam family "Bacterial small subunit ribosomal RNA", at positions 568 to 773 of the family's 1533-position model. The record is from RNAcentral.
AGUGUAGGCGGUCAAGCAAGUCAGAGGUGAAAGGCAUCGGCUCAACCGAUGUAAGCCUUUGAAACUGUUUGACUUGAGUGCAGGAGAGGUAAGUGGAAUUCCUAGUGUAGCGGUGAAAUGCGUAGAUAUUAGGAGGAACACCAGUGGCGAAGGCGACUUACUGGACUGUAACUGACGCUGAGGCUCGAAAGCGUGGGGAGCAACA